This 102-nucleotide non-coding RNA is filed under the name unclassified sequences. RNAcentral's name for it is "RT-9 RNA". It matches the Rfam family "RT-9 RNA". From Rfam's summary of the family: Firmicutes. Nearby to self-splicing intron genes The record is from Rfam by way of RNAcentral.
GAUUGUCAAGAUUAAGGUUUUGACGACAUAGCUUGAAUAAAAGUUCAAGAGAGUUCAAUCCUUUCAGCAGCUUUGAUGCAAACUGUAAACACAUAAAUAAAG